ACGGAGUUAGCCGGUGCUUAUUCCUCGGGUACCGUCACCAUCUUCCCCGAGAAAAGGGCUUUACAACCCUAAGGCCUUCGUCACCCACGCGGCGUCGCUGGAUCAGGGUUUCCCCCAUUGUCCAAGAUUCCCC
This 133-nucleotide ribosomal RNA is filed under the name uncultured bacterium. RNAcentral describes it as "partial 16S ribosomal RNA". The record is from RNAcentral.